GAUGAAGAACGUAGCGAAAUGCGAUAAGUAAUGUGAAUUGCAGAAUUCAGUGAAUCAUCGAGUCUUUGAACGCACAUUGCGCCCCCUGGUAUUCCGGGGGGCAUGCCUGUCCGAGCGUCAUUGCUGCCCUCAAGCACGGCUUGUGUGUUGGGCCCCGCCCCCCGGCUCCCGGGGGGCGGGCCCGAAAGGCAGCGGCGGCACCGCGUCCGGUCCUCGAGCGUAUGGGGCUUCGUCACCCGCUCCGUAGGCCGGGCCGGCGCCCGCCGGCGACCCCCCUCAAUCUUUUCAGGUUGACCUCGGAUCAGGUAGGGAUACCCGCUGAACUUAAGCAUAUCAAUAAGCGGAGGA
This 348-nucleotide unclassified non-coding RNA is filed under the name soil metagenome. RNAcentral describes it as "partial contains 5.8S ribosomal RNA, internal transcribed spacer 2, and large subunit ribosomal RNA". The stretch from base 1 to 120 matches the Rfam family "5.8S ribosomal RNA", at positions 35 to 154 of the family's 154-position model. The record is from RNAcentral.